This 213-nucleotide ribosomal RNA is filed under the name Orbiliales sp. RNAcentral's name for it is "partial large subunit ribosomal RNA". Lineage: Eukaryota; Fungi; Ascomycota; Orbiliomycetes; Orbiliales. The record is from RNAcentral.
AAGCGCUUGCAAUUAGACUUGCUGCAGUUGAUCAAUGUUCCUUUUGGUUCAUGCACUCUGCUGUUUGCAGGCCAGUAUCAGUUAGAGCGGUAGGUCAAAGACUUCAGGAAUGUGGCUUUCUUCGGGGAGUGUUAUAGCCUGUUGUGUAAUGCUAUCAGUUCUGACUGAGGUCCGCGGUUCGUCCUAGGAUACUGGCAUAAUGAUUGUAAGCGA